CACUCCGGUGGCCUAGUGAUUAGAGCGUCCGUCUCAGAUGCGGGAGGUCAUGGGUUUAAUCCCCGUCCGAGUCGA
Non-coding RNA from Potamilus streckersoni, 75 nucleotides. The record is from the annotation of a GenBank genome assembly. Lineage: Eukaryota; Metazoa; Mollusca; Bivalvia; Unionida; Unionidae.